Molecule: non-coding RNA, 5887 nt
Organism: Misgurnus anguillicaudatus (oriental weatherfish)
Lineage: Eukaryota; Metazoa; Chordata; Actinopteri; Cypriniformes; Cobitidae
Source: RefSeq, a predicted model, not a curated record
CUGUCCGCACACUGCUGAAGCUUAUGAAGUCUAUUGAUUUCAAACCUGGCUUUAACCACAAUAUACUUGCCACAAUGAAGGCGGCUAUGGAGACCACAAAUCCCAUGGAUAAGGUUUGUGCCAUCAUCACUGAUGAAAUGUCUCUUAAACAGGCAGUCCACUAUAAUGAGUCUGCUGACAGGAUUGAAGGUUUUGAGGAUUUGGUAGAGGUCAGCGUACUCCAUAUGUUGUCAACUAUGCCUCUGCAUUCAUGGUAAGAGGGCUGUUUCGGAAAUGGAAGCAACUCUUUGGAUAUUGCUUCACAAGUGGGCCCAUACCACAUACCCGGCUUCAAUCAUUGCUGCUAGAGGCAAUCCGUGAGCUAAGGAAGGCUGGGAUGGAGUGCUUGGUCUUCAUCUGUGACCAGGGUUCUGGUAACCGUUCAAUGCUUGCUCGUCUUGUUGUAACAAAGGAGAAGCCGUACUUUGAAGUAGAUGCUGUCAGAGUGUUCUGCCUGUGGGAUCCACCACAUUUAAUCAAGAAUAUUCGCAACAACUGGCGCACCAACGGGUUCACACUGGAUGGUGAUCACAUCUUCUGGGGCAUUCUGGAGGAACUGUUUACUUACGACAGCAAACAGGACAUUCGAUUGUGUUGCCGCCUUAAUAAGAAGCAUGUGCAUCUCCCACCAUUUGCUUCCAUGAGAGUAAGGUUUGCUACUCAGGUCCUGAGCCACUCCGUUGCUGUGGGAAUAAAGACCUUGGCACAUGUAAAGCAGCUCACAGGUCAGGCGCAGAGGAACUACAUGGCAGCUGCUAAAUUCUGUGAAAACUUUGAUGGCAUAUUUAACUGCUUCAACUCCAAGCAGCUCAAGGAUUCCCACAAGUUAAAGUCUGCUCUCUCAGAUGCAUCCGCUCAUUUCCCAUUCUUGGAAAAGUGUAUGGAGUGGCUCCCCCGCCUUAAGCUUGUACGUGCUCGCCUUGGAACCAAGCAGAUCCCAUGUGUAGAGGGGUGGCAGCACAACAUUGUGUGCUUGAAAAUGAUCUGGUGUGAUCUCCGUGAACAUCAUCAGGUUUCCUACCUUUUGACAAAUGUUUGAAUCAAGACUGCCUUGAGAAUGCCUACUCAACCAUUAGAGGCAUGUAAAAAUAAACAUUGAAAUUUAAGGAACUUGCAUUGCAUGGUUUAUUGUUUCUCUUCAUUUUAAGUUGUAACGGUAUUUAGUUUGUGUAUAUGUCUUCAGCUCGUGGUGGUAACCGUGACAACCCUGACUCUGUCCAGUUUGAGUGUGAAUACCGGGCUGUGGCUACAGGAUUUAUGUUUAAUAACUCAGAGAAGACCAACUGUGAGCAAGAUCUUGACACCUUUUUGCUCCAGUUCAGCAGAUACAAUUCUCAGGGGAGUCCCCAGGUCAGCAUUGACACAGAGCAGAUCUCAGCUGAACAUUGCUACAUCUCCCAGGAAGGUCCCAGUAUCAUUGUACCCGUCAAUACUGAGAAAAUUAUGGACGAACAUAGAUAUGCUAGAGUUAGUGCUAACUGUAAAGUUGAUAAUCCACCAGUCACUGCUAAUGCCGGAGUCAUAGAUGACCAGGUGGAGCAGCCAAUGGACUGUACAGUAGACAAUCAUGAUUCCCACCAAAUAUCUUUUAGGUCUGGAAAUCAUGAACAGUGUUGCUGUGCUGGAGUCUGAUGUCAAAAUCCCUGAGGGUGUCCUACCAAAACGUGCCCUAGACCUGCUGAGUGAGAUGAGGCCAUCAGUUUCAGCAGCAUCUUCCUUUGACCAUGAUGGAAGCGUACUGGUUUACAUAGCUAGUUAUAUGGCCAGCAAGGUUGUGGGGAAAUAUGCAGACAGUAAAGACGGUCCCUGUAAUGAGUGUAAUAUCUUGACCACAGAUAUCCCUGCUGAUUCACAGUAUGCAUUUCUAAAGGACAAACAGUAUGCUGACAUGUCCUUAGGAGAGAAGGGCCUUAAAGUUCCCAGCAAGGCACUAGUGGAUUUAGUCAUAGCUUUGGAGUUUAACUUCCGCAAAAACAUCAGCUCAGUUAUCCACACCGUAGGAAGCUAUUUACAAGCAGUAUGUCAAUUGUGAGUGAGUGCAGAGGAGUAAUGUGUGACACAGAGAAGUGCAAAAGGUCACUCAUCUACAUGGUUAAACUAUUUAUACAGAUCAGAAUCCAUCAUAUAUUGCGCACCCAAAAUCUGAGAAUCUCACAGCCAAAUAAGAAGCGCAAUAGGAAAUUUCUUAAAUUAAGCCAUCAGUAAAUUUUGUUCACUUUCUACACCUACAGUAAAUGCUGUAUUGUCUCGUAUGUAUGUGUUGUUGUUGUUAUCAGUUGUGGAAUUUAAUCAUUAAUUAGAUAAACAUUUGAGGUAAUUCUUUUUUUAUUGAGUAAUUUCAUUUUAUGCUACUUUACACAUUUACUACUGUUAUUAGUUACCAACUCCACUAGUUAUUACAUAUAUUUUGUAAAUAUUAAUCCCGUGGAUCCUGCUACAAACAUGAUAAUCUUAUAACACAUGAUGCAGUGCAAUGUCUGUUAUCUUAUAAUUGCCACUUUUGGACACUGGCUGUUUUUUUUACUUUUUUUAAAUAUCUGAAAAUAAGCUGUAAAAAUGGAUUUGAUGACCACUAUUCUGCUUGUAUGUUAUUCUGUGUUAUCAUCAUUCACUUUGGAUUUGACCUUUAAUGUACUUUUUUUAUAGCGACAACAAGAAGUCGUCGCUCGUUCGCAAACGACACAUAACUUCUACUUGACUGCCGAGUCGCUUUGAUUCCAUAAUGGCAAAUUCGUGGGGCUGCUGCUGGGCGCUGGUGAUGCAAUGGAACGUUCUAUUGAGUUUCCUCUCUUGUGCUUCUAUACUCUUUGUUUACACUCGCGUGUAGUCAAUAACCAUUCAUAUACGAUUUUUGGUUAACGGGCAAACAAACAAAUAUGGAUCUUUUAAGUAGCAGUUCGAGCUCCAGCAGCAGUUCAGCGCUGGAGCUCGAAUAUAUAUAUAUAUAUAUUCUUUGUAGGGGAGAGUGGGGUAAAGUGAGACAUUUUUUACAUUUGCUCCCCUCUAAGCAAGCUAAAAAGAUAUAUCAGUCAAAUUUACACAUUUUCCAUUAAUUCAGGAUGUUUCCUAGCUAUGGAAAUUACCAAAAUGUAUUCAGGACGAAGAGCAGUGAAAAUAUGAUUGUUUUAAAAAAAGUGGUCUUGUGUCUCAGUUUACCCCUAAGCUGGGUAAAGUACUCCCAAAAGUGCUAUUACGCCAUAAAAUAUAGUUCCUCUUUUAAAUCCGCUUAGAAAAGCGCUACAUUUUAUUUUGUACCACCAAACUUGCUCGUAUAACUACUCGUCUUAAAUAGGAAAAACGUUGAUGUGUUUGGUCACUUCUAACUUUAUCUCUGAUUGGUACCAUUGAAUGAAUGGGGCUAAGCUAAAUGCUAUCGAAGUGUCGCAGCGUGCUCCAGCGCUUACGUGCACGCACACAGAUGAUAGAGGUAUAUCAACAAUUCUUAGUUAAGGUAAUAACAUAUUUUAAUAUUGAAAAUGAGUAGACUAUUCCUUUAACUAGUUACAAUCCAAAUUCAUUCAUGCACUACUUAAAUAUUAAUUUCACUACUGUUCUGUUUAGUUUAUUAUGUACAUAUCCAUUUGCAGGGGCGUAGCAGCCAUUUUAAAAGUGUGGGGGGGGGCAGUAUGGUAAUGUGACCUAAAGCUGAUGUUCAUAAUAAUACAUUCUAAAUAGAAUACCAAUUGGCAUUUUACAGCACCCUAGUGGCAAUUUUGGGAACACCUAUUUUUGUGAAAUCAUAUUCACAAUUUAAAAAUACUGCAGGACUUUGAAACCAAUGUGAGACCAUCAAUAGCCUACUUUAUUUUUAUGAAAUAAAGAUAUUUUAUGAUAGUUACAAUAUUUCAGUUACACUACAUUUGUGUUUUGAUAAAUAUACAAAUUACAUCUACACUAAUUUUAUACAACAUACAUUUUAUGAAAAUAUAGCAAUAAAACCUAAAUCGAUGUAUUUACAAGUUUUUAAUAUUUUCAAGAUGGAAGUAAGUUCUUUAAUCAAAACAUGGCCGUGGGAAGUGUGGGUGCUGCGGGUGGGAGAUUUUUUUUAAGUAAAAAUAUUCUGCACAAUUUAUAUAUUACUUAUGAAUAUUUUAGGAGAUUAUUUUUGACACACGUAGGUUAUUACGUGUAUUUUGGGUUUUAAUUUCAUUACUGUCUGUGCCUACCCAUCUCCGUGGCCUCAUCCGAGCGCACUUUCUCUGCCUUGUCUUUUGAAGACAUGGGUACGCAGCACCAUGACCCAGAAUAGACUAACACACCUUUGGCUAAUGCAUGCCCACACAGAAAUUCUGAACUCCCUGGGCAUUCGUCCCCUAGCUCAUGAGAGACUUUGGACUCUAUUAUACAACCGGCGCAAUGGGCGACGCGAGUGUCUUUUGCUAGAGUAAAGAGCGCGUUGAUAUUAUGCGCAUACAGUUUUAAGGGGAUGACAACGCGGGUUUGCUUAGCACAUACAUGGAUGCGAAGCAGCACAAAAACGCUUUUUAAUAUGAAAAAAGGAUUAAAAUGUAAAAGAUUAUUAUUGAAUCUCUUUGACAUAAAUGAUCAGGCACGUGCACAGAUAGGGCUCAACCUGUGCAGAACACAUGCCCUUUUUGUCCUUACACUCCGAAGUGUCCUUUUUUUUGGAGGUGUUUUAUUAUUUUUUUAAUAUAUAAAUUAAUGCUAUUGUCAACCAUUUAUGUCUGUCUGUGUGUUUUACAAAUAUAUUUAUCAAAUAAAAUUAUUAAAAAACGAAAUCUUUUUGGAUCCGCUCAAACUGUCUGUCAAACCUCUUUACUCCGCCCCCUGAGUGCAGCGAGCUGAAGUUCCAGACAGCAGUCAGUCAGAGCAGCUGAACGUCUUGCAACGUCAUUCGUAUAAAGGACCAACAUGGACCAGUAGUUAUUUCAUGCUGCCCUUCGGCAGUACCUACUAAGUGGGAUGUCGAUGUCGCGGUUGACUGGAAGAGAGUCAUGCGGGUGGCCAACCACUUCGUUGUAGAUGGUUUGUCCAUGCUGAUGGCUAUGCAGCAUAGUUGAAGCAGACCUGUCAGAAAACUUCUCUAAGGUGCUAUGAAUCAUAUGACUAGAUACACAUCCUAAAAUUACUAGAGGUUACGGAAGCUCCUUUUUGGAUCCAGCUUCAUUUGUGAAGACUUCAGAUGAUGCCAACACUCACAGAGGCUUAAGACGAUGGCAACAAUAGAUAGACAUACAAAAUUGCCAAAUAUAAUAUUGUAAUUACUGCCCCAAAGCGCAAGUUUGCCGAUUUUUAACCCACUUUAUAUUGUUACAAAUACAAUAGAUGCUAACAUUUGAACAGAAAAUGUUUCCUCUUUAUUCUUGAGUUAAUUGUGCUGAUUUAUUCCCAUUUUUUUAUCCACAAUUCUUUGCCAAAAUGAUGUUUUGCAUCAUCUAAAUGGUUCAUUUUCAAAUUACAGACAUUGUAACAACACAAAGUAGGUUGAAAUUCUGCCAACUUACCCUAUAAUAAUAAUUGUCUUUUAACUGAACAGGACUUUAAACACAUGACUUGUAUUAACUUAGAGCUAUUGUGAAAUUAAUAUUGUUUUGUUUCCAGAACAUUCUCCUCAGUGAGUCACUGUUACCUCAGACUGAUUAAGGGAUUUUUUGUAACCUUGAAACAUGCAUUGGUUUUAUUAUGGUAAAACUGCAUAUCUUAUUUCAAACCAAGGUUUUGUAACCAUGGUUCUACUACAGUAACAUUAUAGUAAUGCUGGAGUGAAACUGUGGUAACCAUAUUAUUUUAAAUCAUGGUAAAGUUUGUGGUUACUAAAAUGCACUUCUAUAUGCUGUUGUAAGAGCAUGAUUAUUUUUUAUUUAUUAAUAAACCAUGGUUGAUUUUA